This 253-nucleotide ribosomal RNA is filed under the name uncultured bacterium. Its description in RNAcentral is "partial 16S ribosomal RNA". It matches the Rfam family "Bacterial small subunit ribosomal RNA", at positions 524 to 776 of the family's 1533-position model. The record is from RNAcentral.
UACGAAGGGGGCGAGCGUUGUUCGGAUUUACUGGGCGUAAAGGGCGCGCAGGCGGCCAUUCAAGUCAGGCGUGAAAGCCCCGGGCUUAACCUGGGAGGUGCGUCUGGGACUGGGUGGCUAGAGAUCGGGAGAGGAGAGUGGAAUUCCCAGUGUAGAGGUGAAAUUCGUAGAUAUUGGGAAGAACACCGGUGGCGAAGGCGGGUCUCUGGGCCGAUACUGACGCUGAGGAGCGAAAGCGUGGGGAGCGAACAGG